This is a long non-coding RNA of Lolium rigidum, 960 nucleotides long. RefSeq lists it as uncharacterized. The record is from RefSeq and is a predicted model, not a curated record. The transcript is spliced from 3 exons. NCBI's taxonomy places the organism in Eukaryota, Viridiplantae, Streptophyta, Magnoliopsida, Poales, Poaceae.
GCUACUGGCAACAUAAUUAAGUUGCUUUCUCACGCUAUUAGCUUUGCUUUUGCACUAGUUAUUUCUGUUCAUAUAUGUAGAUUGAAGUUUCUGGCAAACUUAAGUUCAGUAGAAGUUUCUGCAUAAACUGUGAUACUUUUGCCCCAACAAAUAUCAGUAAACCAUCCUUUUAAAUAUGUUGAACCUGGGAAGCCAUCUUUGUUAAGUUCUCAUUCUACUUUUCCCAUGGUGAUCUUUGCUUCACCAGAUAACAUGCGAACCGAGCCUAACUUAGCUGCUGCAAGAGACUGGAAAUUUCUCUUCGAUAACAAUGGUUCAGGAUUUUCCAUACAUGUAUAGCACCCCUAAGUUGUACCAGGUUUCAGAUUGUCUCAAAAUCGCCCUAUGCCGAGCGUAUGAGUUCGACCACACAUCGUCCUAUGGAUGAGCAAGGGUAGAGAUGGAACGGGAGGGUAUCCGCGUCCUAGUGGUGGCAGAGUCGGAACCCCGAGGUGUUUGGCAGAGGCGGAGGAACACACCCAACACAUCUGCGUCGACAUGAUAACUCCAGUCCUAAGGUUUGUGCAUCAAAAGGGGGAAGCAGUACCAGUGUGUUGGUGUCAGCUUGAAGCAACAUAAAAUGUUAUAAGUUAGCUGCGGCUUCAGCUGCUGUAGUGGCAUGCGGGAUUUAUUGGACAUGCAACUAAGUUUGCUUCAAAAGGUGUUUUCCUGUUGUAUGAAACGUGAGUUUUCCUAUCCAUCGAAGUUGUGCACCAUCAUGGCGAACUUGCUUAUUGCCGUGCCUAAGUUGCCUACUAGUAGCACUAAGUCGGGUAACAUCAUUGUUGUAGAGCUGCGAGCCAUUGUCGUGAAUGUUUACCGUUGGGCCUAAGUUGUGCAUUGUUUGUCGUGGAGUUGUUUUUUUGUUGCUACAAAGUUGUUUACCUGAAAAACUAGUAGUAAAAGUUGUGAUUCUUGGUA